This 481-nucleotide ribosomal RNA is filed under the name uncultured bacterium. Its description in RNAcentral is "bacterial SSU rRNA". It matches the Rfam family "Bacterial small subunit ribosomal RNA", at positions 501 to 985 of the family's 1533-position model. The record is from RNAcentral.
CUACGUGCCAGCAGCCGCGGUAAUACGGAAGGUCCAGGCGUUAUCCGGAUUUAUUGGGUUUAAAGGGAGUGUAGGCGGUUUGUUAAGCGUGUUGUGAAAUUUAGAUGCUCAACAUUUAACUUGCAGCGCGAACUGUCAGACUUGAGUACACGUAACGUAUGCGGAAUUCAUGGUGUAGCGGUGAAAUGCUUAGAUAUCAUGAAGAACUCCGAUUGCGAAGGCAGCAUACGGGAGUGUAACUGACGCUUAAGCUCGAAGGUGCGGGUAUCGAACAGGAUUAGAUACCCUGGUAGUCCGCACAGUAAACGAUGGAUGCCCGCUGUUAGCGCCUGGCGUUAGCGGCUAAGCGAAAGCAUUAAGCAUCCCACCUGGGGAGUACGCCGGCAACGGUGAAACUCAAAGGAAUUGACGGGGGCCCGCACAAGCGGAGGAACAUGUGGUUUAAUUCGAUGAUACGCGAGGAACCUUACCCGGGCUUGAA